UCCGAGUAAGAAGAAAAGACAGCGAUUAAGAUAAUCAUUCUUCCUUCCCUGAUUUUUAUUUUCAGAUCUAAAAUAUUUAUUUCAUAGCAUGUUUACAACGAUCCAUGGGUGAUUUUAGGAUUAGAUCCAAGCAUACUUUAGAUUAAAAUAGUUUUAAUCUUAUCUUUCCGCUGCAUAGUUUCAUAAGAUGAAAAAUCUACAUGUUAAUCACCUAGAAAUACAACAAGAAGAAUUGAAAGCUAAAGGGAGAAAAUGGAUAAUCAGCAACAGUAAA
This 274-nucleotide long non-coding RNA is filed under the name Elaeis guineensis (African oil palm). RNAcentral describes it as "long non-coding RNA (EGUI_LNC009547)". Lineage: Eukaryota; Viridiplantae; Streptophyta; Magnoliopsida; Arecales; Arecaceae. The record is from RNAcentral.